Molecule: microRNA precursor, 104 nt
Filed under: Marmota monax (woodchuck)
Lineage: Eukaryota; Metazoa; Chordata; Mammalia; Rodentia; Sciuridae
Source: RNAcentral
AUACAAAUCACCCAGGAUCUUGUUAAUAUUCAGGUUCCAAUUCUGUAGGUUUGGAGCGGGGCCUGAGAUUAUGCAUUUCUAACAAAUUUCUAGGUGAUGUUGUA